CCCUUAGAUGUCCGGGGCCACACGCGCGCUACACUGACGGAAUCAGCGUGGCUUUCUCCCUGACCCGAAAGGGUUGGGAAACCCGUUGAAUCUCCUUCGUGAUAGGGAUUGGGGCUUGAAAUUGUUCCCCAUGAACGAGGAAUUCCCAGUAAGCGCGAGUCAUAAGCUCGCGUUGAUUACGUCCCUGCCCUUUGUACACACCGCCCGUCGCUCCUACCGAUUGAAUGUUCCGGUGAGCUCUUCGGACUGCGCGGUCUGCAGUUUCUGCGUUCCGUGCGGAAAGUUGCGCAAACCUUAACAUUUAGAGGAAGGAGAAGUCGUAACA
This 325-nucleotide ribosomal RNA is filed under the name uncultured eukaryote. RNAcentral's name for it is "partial 18S ribosomal RNA". It matches the Rfam family "Eukaryotic small subunit ribosomal RNA", at positions 1470 to 1796 of the family's 1831-position model. The record is from RNAcentral.